RNAcentral lists this microRNA (22 nucleotides) under Sarcophilus harrisii (Tasmanian devil). RNAcentral's name for it is "Sha-Mir-430-o24_5p* (star (passenger))". The record is from RNAcentral. Lineage: Eukaryota; Metazoa; Chordata; Mammalia; Dasyuromorphia; Dasyuridae.
AUCCUAAUUGAGGGCAUUUGUU